UACGUAGGGUGCAAGCGUUGUCCGGAAUUAUUGGGCGUAAAGAGCUCGUAGGCGGUCUGUCGCGUCGGAUGUGAAAAUCCAGGGCUCAACCCUGGACCUGCAUUCGAUACGGGCAGACUAGAGUUCGGUAGGGGAGACUGGAAUUCCUGGUGUAGCGGUGAAAUGCGCAGAUAUCAGGAGGAACACCGGUGGCGAAGGCGGGUCUCUGGGCCGAAACUGACGCUGAGGAGCGAAAGCGUGGGGAGCGAUCCGG
This 253-nucleotide ribosomal RNA is filed under the name uncultured bacterium. Its description in RNAcentral is "partial 16S ribosomal RNA". It matches the Rfam family "Bacterial small subunit ribosomal RNA", at positions 524 to 776 of the family's 1533-position model. The record is from RNAcentral.